AAACACGGACCAAGGAGUCUAACAUGUGCGCGAGUCAUUGGGUUGACUCUAAACCUAAAGGCGCAAUGAAAGUGAAGGUCCCGCCUCGUGCGGACCGAGGGAAGAUGGGGCGCGCUCCUGCGCGGCUCCCGCAUUCCCGGGGCGUCUCGUACUCACUGCGAGUUGAGGCGCACCCAGAGCGUACACGUUGGGACCCGAAAGAUGGUGAACUAUGCCUGGCCAGGACGAAGUCAGGGGAAACCCUGAUGGAGGUCCGUAGCGAUUCUGACGUGCAAAUCGAUCGUCGGAGCUGGGUAUAGGGGCGAAAGACUAAUCGAACCAUCUAGUAGCUG
Molecule: ribosomal RNA, 332 nt
Filed under: Scopioricus sp. MCJ-2002
Lineage: Eukaryota; Metazoa; Arthropoda; Insecta; Orthoptera; Tettigoniidae
Description: eukaryotic LSU rRNA
Rfam family: Eukaryotic large subunit ribosomal RNA
Source: RNAcentral